Molecule: long non-coding RNA, 217 nt
Organism: Lethenteron reissneri (Far Eastern brook lamprey)
Lineage: Eukaryota; Metazoa; Chordata; Hyperoartia; Petromyzontiformes; Petromyzontidae
Source: RefSeq, a predicted model, not a curated record
UUCAUCUGCAUCAUAGCGUCGCUAGAAAGAGUUUUUUGUGCUUCACGGUGACCUCUUUCGCUCUCAGAGCUCCAUCGAGGGCUCCUCAUCUCUCCUCCAGCACUGCGACAUGAACCCUGUCACGUGGCUGCUGCUGCUCCUGGUGGCCGCAGGCUGCGUCAGCGGUUGGGCGCGUGCCGUGAUGCACAGACUGGAACCGUCCGAGCUCGUGAAGGCG